UAGGGGUCGAAUUUCGUAAAACCCGUUCUUAGCGAAUGUUUACGCCCUAUAAGGAGUCUAUCUGCCAAAUUUCAAGUUUUUAGGUGUUAUAGUUUCGGAGAUUUCGUGAUGAAUGACCUUUCGCGUUUAUAUAUAUUAUAGACUAGCUGUGCCCGCGGCUUCGCCCGCGUUGAAAUCAGUGUAUCACAAAGUUUUCCCGGCAAACUU
This 207-nucleotide unclassified non-coding RNA is filed under the name Melitaea cinxia (Glanville fritillary). Its description in RNAcentral is "misc RNA ENSMCXG00005020737.1". Lineage: Eukaryota; Metazoa; Arthropoda; Insecta; Lepidoptera; Nymphalidae. The record is from RNAcentral.